AGAUUAAGUUAUUAAGGGCGCACGGUGGAUGCCUUGGCACUAGAAGCCGAUGAAGGACGUUACUAACGACGAUAUGCUUUGGGGAGCUGUAAGUAAGCUUUGAUCCAGAGAUUUCCGAAUGGGGAAACCCAGCACGAGUUAUGUCGUGUUAUCUGCAUGUGAAUACAUAGCAUGCAAGAAGGCAGACCCGGAGAACUGAAACAUCUUAGUACCCGGAGGAAGAGAAAGAAAAAUCGAUUCCCUGAGUAGCGGCGAGCGAAACGGGAAGAGCCCAAACCAAUAAGCUUGCUUAUUGGGGUUGUAGGACACUCUGUACGGAGUUACAAAAGAAUUUGUUAGACGAAUAACCUGGAAAGGUUAAUCAUAGAAGGUAAUAAUCCUGUAGUCGAAAACGAAUUCUCUCUUGAGUGGAUCCUGAGUACGACGGAGCACGUGAAAUUCCGUCGGAAUCUGGGAGGACCAUCUCCUAAGGCUAAAUACUCUCUAGUGACCGAUAGUGAACCAGUACCGUGAGGGAAAGGUGAAAAGUACCCCGGAAGGGGAGUGAAAGAGAACUUGAAACCGUGUGCUUACAAGUAGUCAGAGCCCGUUAAUGGGUGAUGGCGUGCCUUUUGUAGAAUGAACCGGCGAGUUACGAUCUGAUGCAAGGUUAAGCAGAAAAUGUGGAGCCGUAGCGAAAGCGAGUCUGAAUAGGGCGAAUGAGUAUUUGGUCGUAGACCCGAAACCAGGUGAUCUACCCUUGGUCAGGUUGAAGUUCAGGUAACACUGAAUGGAGGACCGAACCGACUUACGUUGAAAAGUGAGCGGAUGAACUGAGGGUAGCGGAGAAAUUCCAAUCGAACUUGGAGAUAGCUGGUUCUCUCCGAAAUAGCUUUAGGGCUAGCCUCAAGUGAUGAUUAUUGGAGGUAGAGCACUGUUUGGACGAGGGGCCCCUCUCGGGUUACCGAAUUCAGACAAACUCCGAAUGCCAAAUAAUUUAACUUGGGAGUCAGAAUGUGGGUGAUAAGGUCCAUAUUCGAAAGGGAAACAGCCCAGACCACCAGCUAAGGUCCCAAAAUAUAUGUUAAGUGGAAAAGGAUGUGGCGUUGCCCAGACAACUAGGAUGUUGGCUUAGAAGCAGCCAUCAUUUAAAGAGUGCGUAAUAGCUCACUAGUCGAGUGACACUGCGCCGAAAAUGUACCGGGGCUAAACAUAUUACCGAAGCUGUGGAUUGUCCAUUGGACAAUGGUAGGAGAGCGUUCUAAGGGCGUUGAAGCAUGAUCGCAAGGACAUGUGGAGCGCUUAGAAGUGAGAAUGCCGGUGUGAGUAGCGAAAGACGGGUGAGAAUCCCGUCCACCGAUUGACUAAGGUUUCCAGAGGAAGGCUCGUCCGCUCUGGGUUAGUCGGGUCCUAAGCUGAGGCCGACAGGCGUAGGCGAUGGAUAACAGGUUGAUAUUCCUGUACCACCAUUAUUCGUUUUAAGCGAUGGGGGG
This 1472-nucleotide ribosomal RNA is filed under the name Staphylococcus pseudintermedius. RNAcentral describes it as "bacterial LSU rRNA". It matches the Rfam family "Bacterial large subunit ribosomal RNA", at positions 1 to 1471 of the family's 2925-position model. The record is from RNAcentral. Lineage: Bacteria; Bacillati; Bacillota; Bacilli; Caryophanales; Staphylococcaceae.